AGAAGAAAUGGACAUAUUCCUAGAAAAAUAUGACUUUCCAAAACUCAAUGAGGAAGAAUAAAAAAAACCCUGUAUAUGAUGAUAACUAUGGAGAAAAUUGAAGCUGUAAUAAAAAAACUUCCUGCAAUCAAAAGCCCUGGACCAAAUGGCUUUACAGGGUGUCUUUUCCCAAACAUUCAAAGAACAACUAAAAGCUAUAUUCCUCAGACUAUUCCAAAAACAUUCAAGAGAAAGGCACACUUCGAAACUCUUUGUAUGAAGCCAGCAUUACCCUAAUCACAAAAUCAGAUAAAAACACUACAAAGAAAGAGAAUUACAGAUAAAUAUCCCUAAUGAACAUAGAUGCUAAAAUCCUAAACAAUAUUCUAGCAAAUCAGAUCCAGCAUUACAUUAGAACAGAUCAUACACCACGACUAAGUUAGAUUUGUUUUAGGAAUGCAAGGAUGGUACAAUAUCCACAAAUCAAUAAAUGUGAUACAUCACAUAAACAAACUGAGAGA
Long non-coding RNA from Pipistrellus kuhlii (Kuhl's pipistrelle), 500 nucleotides. RefSeq lists it as uncharacterized. The record is from RefSeq and is a predicted model, not a curated record. The transcript has 2 exons. NCBI's taxonomy places the organism in Eukaryota, Metazoa, Chordata, Mammalia, Chiroptera, Vespertilionidae.